GACAUUCAUAGAAAAAAAUUAAUCUGGAAAUAAGCUAAACAUAUUUUAUUUAAAAACUAUAGGAUACAAAACCUGAAAACUAGUAUGAGACUGAAGUACGGACAACUGAGCUGAAGUUCUGCAUGUUUAAAAUGUAAAAACUCCCGGCGGUCAAUUGACAGGGCACAGAACUCCUCAGAAUAAAUAAUUGAAGAAGUUUUCGUGACCUCAAGGAAGUCAGCUGUUCUUAUUGUACUAAAAUAGAGGUUUUUAUUUUUUACAAACGUGGUUUCGCUUAUUCGAGUACUUUCAUCAGCCAAUCGUUGAGACGGCCAGCUUAGAAAAAAUAGAACCCAGGUUUGGGCGAUUGUGAAUGUUGCGUAUCGAAAAGACUCGUCGGGACGGUCUAAUUUUGUUAUAGCCUGAUAAAAUAAUAAUA
This is a long non-coding RNA of Cotesia glomerata, 418 nucleotides long. RefSeq lists it as uncharacterized. The transcript is spliced from 4 exons. The record is from RefSeq and is a predicted model, not a curated record. Lineage: Eukaryota; Metazoa; Arthropoda; Insecta; Hymenoptera; Braconidae.